Molecule: transfer RNA, 86 nt
Filed under: Candidatus Omnitrophota bacterium
Lineage: Bacteria; Pseudomonadati; Candidatus Omnitrophota
Description: tRNA-Ser
Rfam family: tRNA
About the family: Transfer RNA (tRNA) molecules are approximately 80 nucleotides in length. Their secondary structure includes four short double-helical elements and three loops (D, anti-codon, and T loops). Further hydrogen bonds mediate the characteristic L-shaped molecular structure. tRNAs have two regions of fundamental functional importance: the anti-codon, which is responsible for specific mRNA codon recognition, and the 3' end, to which the tRNAs corresponding amino acid is attached (by aminoacyl-tRNA synthetases). tRNAs cope with the degeneracy of the genetic code in two manners: having more than one tRNA (with a specific anti-codon) for a particular amino acid; and 'wobble' base-pairing, i.e. permitting non-standard base-pairing at the 3rd anti-codon position.
Source: RNAcentral
GGAGAGGUGGCUGAGUGGACUAAAGCGGCCGACUCGAAAUCGGCUGUGCCUUUAUGGCACCGCAGGUUCAAAUCCUGCCCUCUCCG